CUUCUCCUCUACCUGCAGGUGAGAAAGGAAGUCUACUAAAUCAUGGCAUCUGAAAGUCCCUCAGGAGCCAUAGACUUGAGAUGGCAGGUUUUAAUUUUAUGCAUACUUACCAAUGAAUACAGCUUGAUUAUCACAGUGGUAUUUCCAAGGUUUUAUCUUAAACGAAAAGGAUUUAUCUACUUAUUUGUUUCUAGAUACACUGGCCCAUCUAGUCCAGUAUUCUGUUCACUUUAUGGCCAAUCACUGACCUACAGGAAACCCGUAAGCCGGAGUCUCCUUUUCACAGCAGCUGUGCACCUGAUCAACAUUUUCAGAGAGCUGUCCAAAAUGCUCUUGUAG
This 339-nucleotide long non-coding RNA is filed under the name Varanus komodoensis (Komodo dragon). Its description in RNAcentral is "lncRNA (ENSVKKG00000008548.1)". The record is from RNAcentral. Lineage: Eukaryota; Metazoa; Chordata; Lepidosauria; Squamata; Varanidae.